UACAGGGGGUGCAAACGUUGCUCGGAAUCAUUGGGCGUAAAGCGCACGUAGGCGGUUCGUUAUGUCGGAUGUGAAAGCCCUUGGCUUAACCGAGGAAGUGCAUCCGAAACUGGCGAGCUAGAGUACGAAAGAGGAUCGCGGAAUUCCCGGUGUAGAGGUGAAAUUCGUAGAUAAUCGGGAGGAACACCGGUGGCGAAGGCGGCGAUCUGGGUCGAUACUGACGCUGAGGUGCGAAGGCGUGGGGAGCGAACGGG
RNAcentral lists this ribosomal RNA (254 nucleotides) under uncultured bacterium. RNAcentral describes it as "partial 16S ribosomal RNA". It matches the Rfam family "Bacterial small subunit ribosomal RNA", at positions 524 to 776 of the family's 1533-position model. The record is from RNAcentral.